RNAcentral lists this ribosomal RNA (613 nucleotides) under uncultured bacterium. Its description in RNAcentral is "bacterial SSU rRNA". The stretch from base 1 to 519 matches the Rfam family "Bacterial small subunit ribosomal RNA", at positions 338 to 873 of the family's 1533-position model. The record is from RNAcentral.
CCUACGGGAGGCAGCAGUGGGGAAUCUUGCGCAAUGGGCGAAAGCCUGACGCAGCCAUGCCGCGUGAAUGAUGAAGGUCUUAGGAUUGUAAAAUUCUUUCACCGAGGACGAUAAUGACGGUACUCGGAGAAGAAGCCCCGGCUAACUUCGUGCCAGCAGCCGCGGUAAUACGAAGGGGGCUAGCGUUGCUCGGAAUUACUGGGCGUAAAGGGAGCGUAGGCGGAUAGUUUAGUCAGAGGUGAAAGCCCAGGGCUCAACCUUGGAAUUGCCUUUGAUACUGGCUAUCUUGAGUACGGAAGAGGUAUGUGGAACUCCGAGUGUAGAGGUGAAAUUCGUAGAUAUUCGGAAGAACACCAGUGGCGAAGGCGACAUACUGGUCCGUUACUGACGCUGAGGCUCGAAAGCGUGGGGAGCAAACAGGAUUAGAUACCCUGGUAGUCCACGCUGUAAACGAUGAGUGNUAGUGUCGCAUGCAUGCAUGUCGGUGGACGCAGCUAACGACAUUAAGACACCUCCGCCGUCGGGGUAGGUACGGUCGCGAAGAAUUAAAACUAACAAAUAGUAAGUUAGUACGGCGUGAGACGUGACCGACGGACGACGACGAGGGAGGAGG